AAGCUACACUCUGUGUCAGUAGUCCAUCAGGACGAUGAUCUGGCUCAAUUUGAGCUUUGCUACAAAGAAGUCCAGUCUCACUUUAUUCAACAGUCUUCCCUCUGUGAUUUCCGUUGAGAUGUGGACUGGCACAUU
Lates calcarifer (barramundi perch) is the source of this 135-nucleotide small nucleolar RNA. Lineage: Eukaryota; Metazoa; Chordata; Actinopteri; Centropomidae. The record is from Ensembl.